This 986-nucleotide ribosomal RNA is filed under the name Gloeothece sp. 'Bad Sachsa'. RNAcentral's name for it is "bacterial SSU rRNA". It matches the Rfam family "Bacterial small subunit ribosomal RNA", at positions 376 to 1377 of the family's 1533-position model. Lineage: Bacteria; Bacillati; Cyanobacteriota; Cyanophyceae; Chroococcales; Aphanothecaceae. The record is from RNAcentral.
CGAAAGCCUGACGGAGCAACGCCGCGUGAGGGAGGAAGGCCCUUGGGUUGUAAACCUCUUUUCUGGGGGAAGAAGUAAUGACGGUACCCCAGGAAUAAGCAUCGGCUAACUCCGUGCCAGCAGCCGCGGUAAUACGGAGGAUGCAAGCGUUAUCCGGAAUCGUUGGGCGUAAAGCGUCCGCAGGUGGCUAUUCAAGUCUGCUGUCAAAGCAUGGAGCUUAACUCCAUAGAGGCAGUGGAAACUGGAAGGCUAGAGGCCGGUAGGGGUAGUGGGAAUUCCCAGUGUAGCGGUGAAAUGCGUAGAGAUUGGGAAGAACAUCGGUGGCGAAAGCGCACUACUGGGCAGGACCUGACACUGAGGGACGAAAGCUAGGGGAGCAAAAGGGAUUAGAUACCCCUGUAGUCCUAGCCGUAAACGAUGGAGACUAGGCGUAGCUUGUAUCGACCCGAGCUGUGCCGAAGCUAACGCGUUAAGUCUCCCGCCUGGGGAGUACGCACGCAAGUGUGAAACUCAAAGGAAUUGACGGGGGCCCGCACAAGCGGUGGAGUAUGUGGUUUAAUUCGAUGCAACGCGAAGAACCUUACCAGGGCUUGACAUCUGGCGAAUCCAGGGGAAACUUUGGAGUGCCUUCGGGAGCGCCAAGACAGGUGGUGCAUGGCUGUCGUCAGCUCGUGUCGUGAGAUGUUGGGUUAAGUCCCGCAACGAGCGCAACCCUCGUUCUUAGUUGCCAUCAUUAAGUUGGGCACUCUAGGGAGACUGCCGGUGACAAACCGGAGGAAGGUGGGGAUGACGUCAAGUCAGCAUGCCCCUUACGUCCUGGGCUACACACGUACUACAAUGGUCGGGACAGAGGGCAGCAAACUCGCAAGAGCAAGCGAAUCUCAUCAAAUUCGGCCUCAGUUCAGAUUGCAGGCUGCAACUCGCCUGCAUGAAGGAGGAAUCGCUAGUAAUCGCCGGUCAGCAUACGGCGGUGAAUUCGUUCCCGG